This 2078-nucleotide ribosomal RNA is filed under the name uncultured marine bacterium. Its description in RNAcentral is "bacterial SSU rRNA". The stretch from base 1 to 1495 matches the Rfam family "Bacterial small subunit ribosomal RNA". The record is from RNAcentral.
GAUGAACGCUGGCGGCAGGCCUAAUACAUGCAAGUCGAGGGGUAACAGAAAGUGCUUGCACUUUGCUGACGACCGGCGAACGGGUGAGUAACGCGUAUACAAUCUACCUCAUACUAGAGAAUAGCCCGAAGAAAUUUGGAUUAACACUCUAUAGUAUCAUUUAAAGACAUCUUUUUAUGAUUAAAGGUUACGGUAUGAGAUGAGUAUGCGUUCUAUUAGUUUGUAGGUGAGGUAACGGCUCACCUAGACUGCGAUAGAUAGGGGCCCUGAGAGGGGGACCCCCCACACUGGUACUGAGACACGGACCAGACUCCUACGGGAGGCAGCAGUAAGGAAUAUUGGUCAAUGGACGAAAGUCUGAACCAGCCAUGCCGCGUGCAGGAUGAAUGCCCUAUGGGUUGUAAACUGCUUUUAUACAGGAAGAAAAACUUUCUCGUGAGAAAGCUUGACGGUACUGUAAGAAUAAGGAUCGGCUAACUCCGUGCCAGCAGCCGCGGUAAUACGGAGGAUCCAAGCGUUAUCCGGAAUUAUUGGGUUUAAAGGGUCCGUAGGUGGAUAAUUUAGUCAGAGGUGAAAUCCUGCAGCUUAACUGUAGAAUUGCCUUUGAUACUGGUUAUCUUGAGUUAUUAUGAAGUGAUUAGAAUGUGUAGUGUAGCGGUGAAAUGCAUAGAUAUUACACAGAAUACCAAUUGCGAAGGCAGAUCACUAAUAAUCAACUGACACUGAGGGACGAAAGCGUGGGUAGCGAACAGGAUUAGAUACCCUGGUAGUCCACGCCGUAAACGAUGGUCACUAGCUGUUUGGACUUCGGUCUGAGUGGCUAAGCGAAAGUGAUAAGUGACCCACCUGGGGAGUACGUUCGCAAGAAUGAAACUCAAAGGAAUUGACGGGGGCCCGCACAAGCGGUGGAGCAUGUGGUUUAAUUCGAUGAUACGCGAGGAACCUUACCAGGGCUUAAAUGUUUAGUGACAGAUCUAGAAAUAGAUUUUUCUUCGGACACUAAACAAGGUGCUGCAUGGUUGUCGUCGGCUCGUGCCGUGAGGUGUCAGGUUAAGUCCUAUAACGAGCGCAACCCCUGUUGUUAGUUGCCAGCGAGUAAUGUCGGGGACUCUAACAAGACUGCCAGUGCAAACUGUGAGGAAGGUGGGGAUGACGUCAAAUCAUCACGGCCCUUAUGUCCUGGGCUACACACGUGCUACAAUGGUAGGUACAGAGAGCAGCCAAUGCGCGAGCAUGAGCAAAUCUAUAAAACCUAUCUCAGUUCGGAUCGGAGUCUGCAACUCGACUCCGUGAAGCUGGAAUCGCUAGUAAUCGGAUAUCAGCAAUGAUCCGGUGAAUACGUUCCCGGGCCUUGUACACACCGCCCGUCAAGCCAUGGAAGUUGGGAGUACCUGAAGUCCGUUUCCGCAAGGAUCGGCCUAGGGUAAAAUCGAUAACUAGGGCUAAGUCGUAACAAGGUAGCCGUACCGGAAGGUGCGGCUGGAACACCUCCUUUCUAGAGAAAGACGACUAAAGUUUCCAAACUAUUUAAUCAAAAUAAGUUUAUUCUCAUCGCUGUUAAUUAUUAUCAUAUAGUGGAGUCUCAUAGCUCAGCUGGUUAGAGCGCUACACUGAUAAUGUAGAGGUCGGCAGUUCAAGUCUGCCUGAGACUACUACGUUUAGUUUUAGUACUAAAUAAAAUUGAGAAUUUUAAAAAGUUGAGUAUAUGAUUAAUAACUCUUUAUAUUGGGGGAUUAGCUCAGCUGGCUAGAGCGCCUGCCUUGCACGCAGGAGGUCAUCGGUUCGAUUCCGAUAUUCUCCACAAUCAGUUUUAUACUGAAAUGUUCUUUGACAUAUUGAAAACAAUACAAUGAAUAUUUAGAAAAUUUCUAAAUAUAAUUAAAGUAAAAUUAAGUAAUUAAGUUUACGAGCAUGCUCGUAUUUAUUUACGAGCAAAUUUAAUGACUCAUUAAAAAUAAAAGUUACAAUAAGCUAUUUAAGAGCGUAUGGGGGAUGCCUAGGCUCUCAGAGGCGAUGAAGGACGUGAUAAGCUGCGAUAAGCUGCGGGGAUUGGCACACACAAUUUGAUCCGCAGAUUU